GAUGAAGAACGCAGCGAAAUGCGAAAAGUAGUGUGAAUUGCAGAAUUCAGUGAAUCAUCGAAUCUUUGAACGCACAUUGCGCCCCUUGGUAUUCCGAGGGGCAUGCCUGUUCGAGCGUCAUUAUAACCCCUCAAGCUCAGCUUGGUGUUGGGGCCUGCUGCACUGGCAGCCCUUAAAAUCAGUGGCGGCGCCAUCUGGCUCUAAGCGUAGUAAUUCUUCUCGCUAUGGAGUCCUGGUGGAUGCUUGCCAUCAACCCCCAAUUUUUCUAUGGUUGACCUCGGAUCAGGUAGGGAUACCCGCUGAACUUAAGCAUAUCAAUAAGCGGAGGA
RNAcentral lists this unclassified non-coding RNA (329 nucleotides) under soil metagenome. Its description in RNAcentral is "partial contains 5.8S ribosomal RNA, internal transcribed spacer 2, and large subunit ribosomal RNA". The stretch from base 1 to 120 matches the Rfam family "5.8S ribosomal RNA", at positions 35 to 154 of the family's 154-position model. The record is from RNAcentral.